GGAAUGUGGCUCAGUUGUAGAGUGUAUGCCUAGCAUGCAUGAAGCACUGGGUUCAAUCCUCAGUACCA
Molecule: transfer RNA, 68 nt
Filed under: Marmota monax (woodchuck)
Lineage: Eukaryota; Metazoa; Chordata; Mammalia; Rodentia; Sciuridae
Description: tRNA.Ala
Rfam family: tRNA (bases 5-65)
About the family: Transfer RNA (tRNA) molecules are approximately 80 nucleotides in length. Their secondary structure includes four short double-helical elements and three loops (D, anti-codon, and T loops). Further hydrogen bonds mediate the characteristic L-shaped molecular structure. tRNAs have two regions of fundamental functional importance: the anti-codon, which is responsible for specific mRNA codon recognition, and the 3' end, to which the tRNAs corresponding amino acid is attached (by aminoacyl-tRNA synthetases). tRNAs cope with the degeneracy of the genetic code in two manners: having more than one tRNA (with a specific anti-codon) for a particular amino acid; and 'wobble' base-pairing, i.e. permitting non-standard base-pairing at the 3rd anti-codon position.
Source: RNAcentral